GACGAACCGUGCAAACGUUGUUCGGAUUCAUUGGGCGUAAAGGGUGCGUAGGCGGCGCGGUAAGUCGGGUGUGAAAUCUCGGAGCUUAACUCCGAAACUGCAUUCGAUACUGCCGUGCUUGAGGACUGGAGAGGAGACUGGAAUUUACGGUGUAGCGGUGAAAUGCGUAGAUAUCGUAAGGAAGACCAGUGGCGAAGGCGGGUCUCUGGACAGUUCCUGACGCUGAGGCACGAAGGUCAGGGGAGCAAACGGG
Molecule: ribosomal RNA, 253 nt
Filed under: uncultured bacterium
Lineage: Bacteria
Description: partial 16S ribosomal RNA
Rfam family: Bacterial small subunit ribosomal RNA
Source: RNAcentral